GAAACAACACGGUUAAAGUUUUAGGUUUGAAAUUUAGAGUUUGUGGCGAAAUUGUCAGGGUAUAGGAAAAAUCAGGGUAGUUAGUUAUGAAAAAAAUAUAUGCAAAUCUAAAUAUAUGUAUAUAAAAAAAAAUAUGAAUUAAAAAAAACAACGGCGUUGCUAGCGCAAAAUUGCGAUCAUCGCAACUGGAUCGGAUAACACAAAUGUCACGCCUCAUACACGUAUAUGUGAA
RNAcentral lists this long non-coding RNA (232 nucleotides) under Lathyrus oleraceus (garden pea). Its description in RNAcentral is "Pisum sativum (pea) long non-coding RNA (PSAT_LNC012866)". Lineage: Eukaryota; Viridiplantae; Streptophyta; Magnoliopsida; Fabales; Fabaceae. The record is from RNAcentral.